UCUGUGAUAUGUACUAUUCACUAUUCACCUAAAAUUCACUAUUCGCGCAAGCCGGCUCGUGACCCAUAACAUAAGUCGCAAAAUAGUCAGUGACGAGCUCGGUGGAAGGUGUGACUAAGAGAAAAAUAGUCACAUGCAAGUUGAUUCUUGGCACAUGUGUCAAGCUGAAUGCAUCUAUCAGGUUGAUCUAUCCUUUAGCCAAUUUAUCUGUUACAGUUUUCUUGUAAGCAACUUCUGUUACAGUGCUUGUGCUUCCGUCUUUUUAUGUGUGCGUGUUUUGUGUCCUUUUGUGCGCCACUUCUUCGAAAGUCAUGGCUUACCAACUAGCCCAUCAGUACAUAAGCUAUAUUCCAGGUUUUAAAUUCACAUUGAGCCCAUGCUCACCAGACAUCCCGAUUGAGACGUAACAUUUCAGCUACGGCAGCAUGGUUAUUUCAUCAAUUAUUUCAGCUGCCUGGCACAAGCCUGAAAACAGCUUACCUUCACAACAUGGUUUCAAACUUCGCUGUUUGCUUUGCCGUUAGCCCUUUCGGGGGCAUGGCGGAGCCAUGAUUUCGCGCUGCACUCCACGUCAUCCUUUGUGCUGUUUGGGAAACGUUUCCUAAUAGCAGCUGUCUCGCAAGCAUUACAUGAGCCAAGUUAGAAUUUAUAACUGGUGCAUUCAUGUCAUGUUCAUACCAGUAAACUAGCAUACCUCUCUCUUAAAUACAUAUGGCUCCAUGUUUAAACUGCCAAAUGUAUAAAGGCAUCACGGCAGCAUAUUUACCUUCCACUUCAAGUUUUCGUUAUGGCUGAUCACUUAGCAGCAUUGCCCCACGUGGCGCACAGACAUCGGUCAGACUCCUAAAUUUAAAAAAGCUAUGCUCGCCACCGAUUUGCAUAACCAUCCUAGCAUGCAUUGGGUGUGGCUUGUUCUAUAAACGCAAUACAAAAGCUUAGCAAUGCUUAAGGUUCCCAUGUAGAUGCGUGCGAAUAGAAAUCGUUAAAACCAAAUAUAAAAUAAUGAAGCUGUGAUCACAUCAAGCUAUAAAUACAUUGAAAUGAAAUCUUCAUCUGCUUUCCAGCAACAAAAAUGUUUUCAUUAGUGUGCUCCAGCUAGUUCCCCAUUUCCUUAGGGAAACAGAGGAUUUUGCCUACAACCUGAGGCCAGUGCUGAAGUUGCGCACUUAAAUACGACCCCAUACACUAUUUCUGCAGUAUUGAACCUGCUCUAUUAUAAACUUUUAUGAGAAGUUAUUAAAUAAAAGUGGGCAUGCUAACAUUGCUCGGAAGCCCAUACAUAAAUGUAUAUGUAAAAGUAAUGUUGAAUCUGUGUCAUAUUGAGGCAAUCAAACGUCGCAAUAUUUAAUGCUGUGCCAGAAAGGAUGACAGUAUGACAGAAACUAUGACAUUAAAAGAGACAAAGACAAGAACACUUAGUGGAGCAAAACGCACUUAAAAUUACAGGAAUCUCUACAUGGAUAGACUGCCCCUAAUAGAAAAUUAUGUAAUGAAAGAUAGACGUUGUUCUUUGUGCCGCAAUAGUUUUGUGGCUGGCACUAUCCACAUACCUAGUGUUAAGCUUUAGAGCUUGCAUAAUUUUUUUUAAAACUGCCUGUUGCCAAUUCUGUCUGUUUUUCCUAAAUGACGUGAAGAGCAGUACCUUUCUUAGUCAACAAAUAAUAGUGCUGAGGUAGCUGAUUAAGCAAAUUGGACUAAUCAACUGUUUACUGAUUUUAGGGCAUGUGUUGGAAUGGCGGAACUGUAGGCCAUCAGAAAACAUGACAAACCAGUUGGAAUCAAUUGCAUAAGUUUCGAGACAUGGGAACUCCAACUGCGCAACCAAAUGUGCUGGCGUUCCCCCUUUCUUCUUGCUGUGUGAAUUGCUCGAUCUGCACGUACAAAUGUCUGCCUCCAUUUAUUUCAGCCAUGCAGACAAAAUUAGGGUAUCACCAAAAGUCACAGUUUCGCCGCAACGGCGAAGCAAUGAAUGCGAUAGCAACAAAUUAGAGUGUCACACGAAGAACGGCAAGCAGCUCGAUACUUGCAACGCGCCGCUCGAGCCCAAUGACUGGCGAAAAGAACACACAGAGGACGACUGCGAACGAACAACGGUCACAGCUCGACACUUGCAGCGCACUGCUGAAACACAAGGUAGGACACUGUGUGCUUACUCACGUAGUCCCAGUACAAGAGCACGUACACAAUUAAAUUUCUUGUAUGUGUUAGUCGGGGGGCCACUAUAACAUUUGUAAGCGAUGCGUAUGGGGGUCGCGCAUCUGAUAAGGCAAUAACAGAGCAGUGUGGGCUGUUGGAGCUGUUUGAACCCUUUAAAGAUGAUAUCGUGGUUAUCCGGUUUUUUUUUUUUUUUUUUUUUUAUUGAUAUGUGUGCAUCUCGUGCAAUUGGUAUAAUCAGGCCCCCAUUUUCAAAGAAAGAUGGCCAAUUUCAAGACAGUGAUGCCACCAGGACAACUGAAAUAGCACGAGCAAGGGUACAUGUGGAGCGGGCUAUCCAGCGCAUUAAGAUAUUUAAAACAUUUCGCACUACUUUGAACUGAGAAAUGCUUCCAUACAUCAAUCACCUCUUCAUAACUGCAUGUGGCCUCACCACCUUGUGUGCACCUAUACUUGCUGAUGAUAAAUUUUUGUGAAAGUUGAAAGUGCAACAAAAGUAAAUAAAAUGUCUUUUUUAUUGUGAUGAUGAAAAGAUUAGCAGGACACAGGAAUAAAGAUUAAGCGACAAUACUUUAAUAACUUGCGGUUUGCAGACGACAUCGUACUUUUCAGCAAUACAGCGACGAAUCACAAAAAAAAUGAUAGAAAAAAUGAAGAAAGCCUUGAUAAUAAUAAUAAUUGUUGGGUUUAACGUACCAAAAUCACGAUAUGAUAAUGAGAGACGCCGUAGUGGAGCGCUCCGGAAAUUUCGCCCACAUGGGAUUCUUCAUUGCCUUGUUUCCUACAAAGGAGUCAUGCCAUUACAUCCUGUUUAGUUUUGCUUCCCAUGUGUAUUUUUCAGUUUCGUUGAAUGUGUAGAGCUCACGGCAAACACUUCCAGUUAUCCUGUUUCGUAUCUCACUGUGCCAUAAUGUACAACUUUGAGUCACGGUGCGCUGACAUGCUUGUUUGGCUUUUUCAUGGCUCACACGCUCCUUUUGUUCGUAGAACUCUCUUUCUUUUGGGGUAAGACUUGCAAGUGAAAACCUUUUCAGCUUAACGGCUCUUCCUUCAUUUACAGCCUCAAAAAAUUGAAAAGUGCUGAACUCCCUGAGACUUGCAUUUACACGAUCAUGGGCGAACACUGUUGUAAAAAAACGUGUCACAUUGCAUCGCUGUCAACCGCUGCAGCUGUCUUUCUCUGACGUGACUUGUGCUUUGCAAAACUAGAGUUUGGUGCUGCCUUCACAAAUUCCGCUCUUAUUGAUUUCUCCACCUCUUUAUCGAAGGACAUUUUUGGAUAUUCUUGAACGUGGCAAAAUCUGUCAACUGGCCGUGGCGUGUACGGGUUGGUGACACUGAUGCGACCCCACUGCUGCUGUACGUCGGUACAUGAUAGCCAGUCAAGGCUGUCUGCACUUGCUCUGUAAUUAGAAUGAAUAAAAAUUUGU
Long non-coding RNA from Rhipicephalus sanguineus (brown dog tick), 3584 nucleotides. RefSeq lists it as uncharacterized. NCBI's taxonomy places the organism in Eukaryota, Metazoa, Arthropoda, Arachnida, Ixodida, Ixodidae. The transcript is spliced from 3 exons. The record is from RefSeq and is a predicted model, not a curated record.